Sander lucioperca (pikeperch) is the source of this 724-nucleotide long non-coding RNA. RefSeq lists it as uncharacterized. NCBI's taxonomy places the organism in Eukaryota, Metazoa, Chordata, Actinopteri, Perciformes, Percidae. The record is from RefSeq and is a predicted model, not a curated record. The transcript is spliced from 4 exons.
AAUUGAAACAGCUGCAACUUUGCAAACAUCUUCUUUAUUGCGCAGCAGACCGAACACUGCUUGUUUCAGCUGGAAUAGCCUUUGAGAAAUCCGAAAAAUGUCUUCAAAACAGCACACCCUGUCAUCUCUCCUGCAGAUCUUCAGAGAUGGAAGAGAAGGGAGAGGAAAAAAUUAGAGAAAUGACUGUGCAAGGGUCUUAAAUCCAGUGGCCUGGUGGUGGUGGUCAAGCUCCUUCAGUGCUUGGGUCCCCCCUGCAUAGUUCACUUAAGAGUGGACUCUGUACCUGCUGUUUUAAAGGUUCAUUUUCAACUUACCAUUAAGGCUGACACCUGUGGAACCCUGCCUUUGAUUGAUUGUUGAGGCCAUUGAUCUAAUUUUGAAACCUUUGAAUUUCUCCUCUGCAUCCUUCCUUUUCUUGUAUGGCGUGGAGUAAACCUAAUUCCUGUGUGCCUCAUGCAGGGCCUCGCUCUGCAAGGUGGGAAAACUGAGUGAAUAAAUAAAUAAAAUAAACCUUAAGAAACAGGUCUUUCACAGCGGCACAGAGAUUUUUAUAGACUGGAUCAAUUAAAUUUGUCUUAUUUGGAACAAUGGGGCUCUGUAACUCAAUAAGAGGUAAUGUGGUUGAAAAAGCCUCUCACUGUGCGGCCAUUAGGUGAGACAAUGUUACCAUGGGAGUAUUAACAUGCAGGGAUUACAGAGGUAUGACUGGUCCGAGCCAAUUAGA